GUGAAACAUUGGUUCUCAUCUGAUCACUGAAGUUAAGCAACAUGGAACCUGGUCAGUACCUAGAUGAGUGACCCCAAGGAAUAACAAGUGCUGUAAG
This is a non-coding RNA of Acanthosepion pharaonis, 97 nucleotides long. Lineage: Eukaryota; Metazoa; Mollusca; Cephalopoda; Sepiida; Sepiidae. The record is from the annotation of a GenBank genome assembly.